Neopelma chrysocephalum (saffron-crested tyrant-manakin) is the source of this 557-nucleotide long non-coding RNA. RefSeq lists it as uncharacterized. Lineage: Eukaryota; Metazoa; Chordata; Aves; Passeriformes; Pipridae. The record is from RefSeq and is a predicted model, not a curated record. The transcript has 4 exons.
GUAACCACCCAGGGGGUGAGGCAGGGCAGCCUCUCAAACUGGGCAGCUGCUGAGGGCAGAGAGCACUUGCACGUGGAGUCAGUCAGGGAUGGACACACUGGGAUAGUCAGCCAGCUGAGAAUUCUGAUUAUUCUAAGUAGUUUGGGCAGUUAUUUUCAGGAACGAGUCAAACAAUUAAGCAGUACGGAUGGCAUUUUUGUACUUGGAAACUUCAGGCCCUUACUGUCACCCUGCUAAUUACAACUGUAUCCACAGUUGUGGUAAAUGGCCACAUCCCUCAGAAUUGCACCUGCAGUUACAGAACUGGGCAAGACUGAGAUGUGAGAUAAUGAGGAACCGUGUGCCAGGAGCUCCUGAGAACGUGGACAGGAGAACUGACUGCGUGGGAAGAUGAGCAGCCCUGAAGAUCCCAGAGCAGAGGGAGCAGAAAGCAAGUCAGCUUCAUGAGACAGCAAACAGAAUGUCCUUGGAGAAAGGCUGCAAGGAGAGACACAUAUUUGCACUCUGUUGCUUGGAAUGUUACAACCCCAGCUUCUCUCGAGAGUCCCUUUCUGAAA